UGCUGGUUUGCUGAUACUGGUCGCGAGGCUGGCGCUAUCGCUGCUGCUCCGUGCUGACUGAGCGACUGUGGUGAGCAGACGCGGCUGGUACUGGGCACGGCCGGCGCUGCAGCGACUGACUGUGAUACUGUGUCGACAGGAGCGGACAGCUUACUCAGAUGGCUCGAGGAGAGGGCGCGGGGGAAGGCCAGGGUGCCGGCGCCGGCCGGGAUGACGGGGGCGCCAUUUGGAGCCUCGUCUGGCUCAUCAUUCUCAUCCUGGUGAGCUUUUUCAUCGCGGGCUUCUGCGCUGGCUGGUACAUCAUCUUCUCCAUCUUCACACCAUGCAUCGAGCAACUAAAGCCGGUGACGGACAUUCUACUGGUCGGCGUCAACUUCCCACACAUGUGCUCACAAAACAUCCUCUCCGGAAAGCCGAUCGGCUAAUCGAAGCUUGGCCAAAGGUGGCGCCUUUAUCAAUUUCUAUCGCAUGGAGUUGCAAAUGACUGAAUUCGCAUCGUUACCAAUUAUAUACUGCCAUAAAUGAUAACAAUAACACGUCAAAUGUAUAUUUAAACACACAAAGCUUUCGGUAUGAAAAUACCUUGGUCACUGUGUUAACAGAAUCGUCGUACAUGCCGAACAAUCUCAUCAUUUACCGAACUGGGGAGCAACUCGAUUAUUAGAGAAGGGCGCACGAAAAACGACACGAAAAAUCUUAGAAGCGGCUCACAUAUCAGCACGCGAUACCAUCAAUACUAGGACUGGAUUUAUAACUUUAGCAACAUGCGCUGUAAGCUUAGUGGCAGGACCCCGAUAGAUAAUCUCGUGAUUGUGAUCUAUUUUUCGAGUGCUAUUUUAUAUUUUUGUACAAGCUGCCGGUGACAAUUUCUGUCCUCAUUUCUGUUAACACAGUGACCAAGGUAUUUUCAUACCGAAAGCUUUGUGUGUUUAAAUAUACAUUUGACGUGUUAUUGUUAUCAUUUAUCCUAACUGUCUUGGAUAUUCUACAUAUAUACUGCCAUUUUGAACGUCUUCUCAGUGAGUGUUAAGUUAAGCUGAAACCAAUUUUUUAUUAUUCUUGGGAUGAACAACUGAGGGAUCCGUAUGCAUUCACUCCCGGAUAAAUGUCUUAUUUCUUCUUAUGAAGAAAUGACGUCGAAUGUAUAAUUACAAGUCUUCGGAAACGCCCGUGCCCGAACCUGGAAACCAUAAGUGUCUGCAGUGUUCAACCCGGGCCCGCAGCGUUAGCAAAUGAACACCAAGCUGCUUAUUAUGGGAUGGACUUGUUCUGUUCAUCUCAAGCGUGUUGCUGCGUGUCAAGUGUUUUUAAUAAAUGUGUCUUCACCA
Molecule: long non-coding RNA, 1328 nt
Organism: Amphibalanus amphitrite
Lineage: Eukaryota; Metazoa; Arthropoda; Thecostraca; Balanomorpha; Balanidae
Exons: 3
Source: RefSeq, a predicted model, not a curated record